RNAcentral lists this ribosomal RNA (253 nucleotides) under uncultured bacterium. Its description in RNAcentral is "partial 16S ribosomal RNA". It matches the Rfam family "Bacterial small subunit ribosomal RNA", at positions 524 to 776 of the family's 1533-position model. The record is from RNAcentral.
GACAGAGGGUGCAAGCGUUGUUCGGAAUCAUUGGGCGUAAAGGGCGCGUAGGCGGUUUUGUAAGUCGGAUGUGAAAGCCCAGGGCUUAACCUUGGAAGUGCAUCCGAAACUGCAUGACUGGAGUCUCGGAGAGGGUGGUGGAAUUCCCGGUGUAGAGGUGAAAUUCGUAGAUAUCGGGAGGAACACCGGUGGCGAAGGCGGCGACCUGGGUAGAUACUGACGCUGAGGUGCGAAAGCGUGGGGAGCAAACAGG